ACAAGAAGGGAAGGAUCUACAGAGAGAAGUCUGAAAGCAAAAGUCAUUUCAGGUCUGAAACAGCCACUCAACUCGCCAUGACCUGAAGAUCACAAGUCUCUGGACCUCAAAUGUGAAACAUUUAUCUAUUCUAUUGGCUUCAAAAGGUUUUUAAACAUCAGUGCGAUUGGAAAUGCAUGGAGUGUGAGAACAUGCACAGAUGUGUGUGAAAGUGUUUGACUGACCAUCAGAGGAAGUCUCCCCAGGAACACUGUCUGAGGGAGAGUCUUCCUGUGGACUUGGCUGUGGAAGGAGCUUGAACCAGUUAGACAGAUCGAAUCCUCACUGCACAAUUGUUACGGACCAGACCGGAUCCCCGGUCAAGUACUUUAAGAAGGUAGCCAUGACCCUCACUUUUUCUCAUUUAAAGCCAUAUGUGAAAUGUGACUGCUGGCCGUUAAGCAAAACACGAUUUGUUUAAACGCUGUCAUUAAAAUACAGCUAAAGAGAGGAGUUUAGGAUAACUCUGCAGACUGGGAACUUAACAGAUACAGUAACUGUUACUAAGAAGACAUGGGGAAAGAAAUCUGAAACCAAAUGAUACAUCAACUUGUGAUGGAGCUACUUGAUUCGUUUGGAAAGGAAAUCAAUGAAAUCGUACCAAACAUCAUCUUCACUAUCCUAUCUAUCUGCAACUCUGAAAGAAUUAUGAAUCUGUACUCCAAAGUCUCUUUGUUCAGCAACACUCCCUAGGCCCUGACCAUUAAGUAUGUAAGUCCUGCUCUGAUUUGUUUUUCAAAAAUGCAGCACCUCGCAUUUAUCUGAAUUAAACUCCAUCUGCCACUCCUCAGCAUAUUGACCCAUCUAAUCAAGAUCCUGUUUAAUCAGAAGUAAACUUCUUUGCUGUCCACUAUAACUCCAAUUUUGGUGUCCUCUGCAAAUUUACUAUACCUAUGUUCACAGCCAAACCGCUUAUAUCAGUGAUGAAAAGUAAUGGACCCAGCACCGAUCCUCAUGGUGCACAUUGGUCACAGGCCUCCUGUCUGAAAAGCACCCCUCCACCACCACCCUCUGUCUUCUACCUUUGAGCCAGAACUUAGAAUUAUUAUUUUUUUCAGAAGUCAAAAUGCCUCUCCUCUUCUUCUCCUGCUCACAGUACACUGGCUGUAGCCAGCCAGCUGACAGUCCGUCCUCAACAGAGGAGAUUCCAAUCUCUUUAUUAACUGGAGGUGCUUAAAUCUCUUGGUUAAUUCUUUUUUUAAAAAUCCCCUCACUACUGCUACUACGGUAGUGCUUGUUUUUCCCCAGCAUCCAUAUUGUGUGUGUGGAGAUGUGAGACAGCAGAUACAUUCAAUUUUGCUCAAAGCACACAAUUUGCAGGCAGUCAAUCCAUUAAUAUUUUAUUAAUUCCUACUUUGGAAGUAGAACCAGUCUGACUCAACAUUAGAGUCUGCCUGUCUCCUAACCUCACACCUUUAAUACAUUCUCUGCGCUGAAAUGUCACCUUCAAAUUACAUUGAGAACGUUCCUUAUAAGUAGUUGUGGGAUUUACAUAUUAAUGAACUGAAACCUGCAACCCAUUCUAAAAGAUGAAUGACGUAACAGCAAUCUAGAUUUGUUCCAUUCAGUUGUUUGACACAGAAUUUAUACCAAAAGAUUACAAUGUCUUGUGAUCUUGCUCCACAGCUACCUGAUGAAGGAGCAGUGCUCCAAAAGCUAAUACUUCCAAAUAAACCUGUUGAACUAUAA
Hemiscyllium ocellatum (epaulette shark) is the source of this 1728-nucleotide long non-coding RNA. RefSeq lists it as uncharacterized. The transcript has 2 exons. Lineage: Eukaryota; Metazoa; Chordata; Chondrichthyes; Orectolobiformes; Hemiscylliidae. The record is from RefSeq and is a predicted model, not a curated record.